RNAcentral lists this ribosomal RNA (253 nucleotides) under uncultured bacterium. RNAcentral's name for it is "partial 16S ribosomal RNA". It matches the Rfam family "Bacterial small subunit ribosomal RNA", at positions 524 to 776 of the family's 1533-position model. The record is from RNAcentral.
UACGUAGGGAGCAAGCGUUGUCCGGAAUCAUUGGGCGUAAAGCGCGCGUAGGUGGCCCCAUAAGUCCGCUGUGAAAGUCAAAGGCUCAACCUUUGAAAGCCGGUGGAUACUGUGGGACUAGAGUACGGAAGAGGCGAGUGGAAUUCCUGGUGUAGCGGUGGAAUGCGCAGAUAUCAGGAGGAACAUCAAUAGCGAAGGCGGGUCUCUGGGCAGUAACUGACGCUGAGGAGCGAAAGCGUGGGGAGCGAACAGG